GGAAGGUGGGGAGUGACGUCAAGUCCUCAUGGCCUUUAUGUCUAGGGCUACACACGUACUACAAUGGCCGGUACAAAGGGCAGCCACUCAGCGAUGAGGCGCUAAUCCCAUAAAGCCGGUCUCAGUCCGGAUCGCAGUCUGCAACUCGACUGCGUGAAGUUGGAAUCGCUAGUAAUCGUAGAUCAGCAUGCUACGGUGAAUACGUUCCCGGGCCUU
This 216-nucleotide ribosomal RNA is filed under the name uncultured Desulfovibrio sp. Its description in RNAcentral is "partial 16S ribosomal RNA". It matches the Rfam family "Bacterial small subunit ribosomal RNA", at positions 1168 to 1382 of the family's 1533-position model. Lineage: Bacteria; Pseudomonadati; Thermodesulfobacteriota; Desulfovibrionia; Desulfovibrionales; Desulfovibrionaceae. The record is from RNAcentral.